UCUCCGUAGGUGAACCUGCGGAGGGAUCAUUACUGAGUGAGGGCUUCGGUCCGACCUCCAACCCUUUGUGAACCAAACUUGUUGCUUCGGGGGCGACCCUGCCGCUUCGGCGGUGCGGCGCCCCCGGAGGCCAUUAAACACUGCAUCAUUGCGUCGGAGUUAAAGUAAAUUAAACAAAACUUUCAACAACGGAUCUCUUGGUUCCAGCAUCGAUGAAGAACGCAGC
This 226-nucleotide unclassified non-coding RNA is filed under the name uncultured fungus. RNAcentral describes it as "sequence contains ITS1, 5.8S rRNA gene". The stretch from base 178 to 226 matches the Rfam family "5.8S ribosomal RNA", at positions 1 to 49 of the family's 154-position model. Lineage: Eukaryota; Fungi. The record is from RNAcentral.